RNAcentral lists this transfer RNA (72 nucleotides) under Patescibacteria group bacterium. RNAcentral's name for it is "tRNA-Arg". It matches the Rfam family "tRNA". Rfam says of the family: Transfer RNA (tRNA) molecules are approximately 80 nucleotides in length. Their secondary structure includes four short double-helical elements and three loops (D, anti-codon, and T loops). Further hydrogen bonds mediate the characteristic L-shaped molecular structure. tRNAs have two regions of fundamental functional importance: the anti-codon, which is responsible for specific mRNA codon recognition, and the 3' end, to which the tRNAs corresponding amino acid is attached (by aminoacyl-tRNA synthetases). tRNAs cope with the degeneracy of the genetic code in two manners: having more than one tRNA (with a specific anti-codon) for a particular amino acid; and 'wobble' base-pairing, i.e. permitting non-standard base-pairing at the 3rd anti-codon position. The record is from RNAcentral.
AGGGGGUUAGUGUAGUGGUUCGCACAACGGUCUUCGAAACCGUUAGGAUCAGUUCAAAUCUGGUACUCCCUG